AACGAACGUUGGCGGCGUGGAUUAGGCAUGCAAGUCGAACGCGAAAGGGUAGCAAUACCCGAGUAAAGUGGCGAACGGGUGAGUAACGCGUAGGAAACCUGCCUUCGAGUGGGGGAUAACAUUCCUAACGGGAUGCUAAUACCGCAUGAAACUGAGAGGUCGCAUGGCCUCACAGUCAAAGGUGGCCUCUAUUUAUAAGCUACCGCUCAAAGAUGGUCCUGCGUCCCAUUAGCUAGUUGGGGGGUAACGGCUCACCAAGGCUCCGAUGGGUAGCCGAUCUGAGAGGAUGACCGGCCACACUGGGACUGAGAUACGGCCCAGACUCCUACGGGAGCAGCAGUCGAGAGGCUUCGGCAAUGGGGGAAACCCUGACCGAGCGACGCCGCGU
RNAcentral lists this ribosomal RNA (388 nucleotides) under uncultured bacterium. RNAcentral's name for it is "bacterial SSU rRNA". It matches the Rfam family "Bacterial small subunit ribosomal RNA", at positions 29 to 402 of the family's 1533-position model. The record is from RNAcentral.